AAUAGAGGGCAAGCGUUAUCCGGAUUCAUUGGGCGUAAAGAGCGCGUAGGCGGCUUGUUAAGUCAGAUGUGAAAACCGGGGGCUCAACCCGCGGCCUGCAUCUGAAACUGACAGGCUUGAGUCUGGUAGAGGAAAGUGGAAUUCCUGGUGUAGCGGUGAAAUGCGCAGAUAUCAGGAGGAACACCAGUGGCGAAGGCGGCUUUCUGGGCCACGACUGACGCUGAGGCGCGAAAGCUAGGGGAGC
Molecule: ribosomal RNA, 244 nt
Filed under: uncultured bacterium
Lineage: Bacteria
Description: partial 16S ribosomal RNA
Rfam family: Bacterial small subunit ribosomal RNA
Source: RNAcentral